This 1049-nucleotide long non-coding RNA is filed under the name Olea europaea subsp. europaea. Lineage: Eukaryota; Viridiplantae; Streptophyta; Magnoliopsida; Lamiales; Oleaceae. The record is from RNAcentral.
UUAUGAGAUUCACGUUGCAAUAAUUAAACUAAGUCAAGCCAUUCUGAGACUAUUCAAUACAAAUAUUAGUUUUCAUUUUCACUACCAACAAGAAAUUGAUCUCAUAAACUAUAUAAGAAUUACAGAAGUAAUAUGGAUUAAUUUUCUGCAAUUUAUGUUCUCUUGACUUAUCAUCUAUAUAUUGUUUGCAUGAGCUGUAGGAAAUCAAAAUAAGAAAUACAAAUCAAUGUAAAUUCCCCUAAUCAAGCAAUCAAGCAUGAUACUAGGCAUCAAUUAUCUAUAGGCAAAAAUAGAUUGCUGAAUCUCCCUAUUUAUAUAUAUCCAACUCAAUGCAAUGUAAUAUAUCGAAAAAUGAAGGAAAAGACUUACCUCUGAAACAUGGUAUCAAAGCAGAAAACCGAUCUAGGGCACCCUCUUUAUCAAAAAUCUAUAUUCUUCCUCUUGUAAACAUUUUCUCAAACACAUGGCUGACAUAGGAGUUAUCACCAACGUAAGAGAUAAUACACCCAACCUUGAGGCUCUCUUCCAAGAAUUCACACAAAAGAUGGCAGAAACAUUAUCUAAAACCCAAAAUUCAAAACCAAACACCGAAAAUUCAACUCCAAUCUGCAUCAUAUUAGAUGGAUCAGACUAUCCCUUGUGGCCCCAAGUUAUGGAGAUGUACAUCUCCAGGAAAGAUAAGUUGGGCUACUUGAACGGUGACAUUUCACCACCUGCAGAGACUGACCAUGGCUUACGAAAGUGGCGAACAAAACCAUUCUCUUCCAUAGAACAGGCCUACACCCACGUUCACAGGGAGGCGCUCUGACAGUCGGUGAUGACCUCCACCGACGUCACCAGUUCCAUCGGAGCAAUUUUGGCUGCCAAAGGAGUGAAGAAGGGACCGGCCACAAAUUCUUCUAACGGGCAGCUUCGUAUGGGCCACAGCAAGUCACACGGCCCAAAGGAGAAAAUUAUCAAUGAAGGGACUAAAUGUUCCUAUUGUGGAAAUUUAAGGCACGCGCGUGAGAAUUGCUUUAAACUUAAUGGAUACCCGGACUGGUGGCAUG